UAGGUCGACCCGCUGAACUUAAGCAUAUCAGUAAGCGGAGGAAAAGAAAGUAACAACGAUUUCCUUAGUAGUGGCGAACGAACAGGAAUUAGCCCAAUGCCGAAUCCCACACUUGAUGUGGGACAUGUGGCGUAUGGUACUGGUCAUAAGGUUUAUUGUUGCUGUUUAAAGUUCACUUGAUUGUGGCAUUAGUCCCAUAGAGGGUGUAAGGCCCGUUUAGACAGCACAAUGCUCCUAGAUCAGUCCCGAGAGUAGAGUUGUUUGGGAAUGCAGCUCAAAUAUGGGAGGUAAACUCCUCCUAAGGCUAAAUACAACACGAGUCCGAUAGCGAACAAGUACCAUGAGGGAAAGUUGAAAAGAACUUUGAAGAGAGAGUUCAACAGUGCGUGAAACCGCUCAAAGGGAACCAGGUAGAGCUGAAGGAGUCAUGGCUCAUUUGGACUUCAUGUUGGCUAUGUGGUGAAUGCAGAGACUUCUUGCUCGGUUUGCUAUGUAUGUUAAUGUGAUGUUCUAUUUUGCUAUGCUGACACCACGACCAGUAGCUAUACUAGUCUGGCAAUUUUGGGAAGGUGACUUGCUUCGGUAAGUGUUAUAGCCCAUGAUUCUAGCACUAGUUCACUACUGGGUACAUGGAUUGCUUUAAUGUGAGGUUGAGAAGUGAAGCUGCCAUGUUAACUCAAAAGAGAUAGUAUGGCUGUCUUAGCUUUUUGACAUUACCUCUUUGGUGGUCUUUUGUGGUGAUAUUGUAGGCAUUCUACCUGACCCGUCUUGAAACACGGACCAAGGAGUUUAACAUGUACGCGAGUCAUUGGGUCGUACGAAACCUAAAGGCGUAGUGAAGGUAAAGGCUAACCUCUGUUAGCUCAGGUAGGAUCCUGGAUUUCACUGGGCAGCAAUGCACAUGGUCUAGGCGCACUACCAGCUCGUCCCAUGCUUUAUAAAGCGGGGCGAAGCAAGAGCGUACAUGUUGAGACCCGAAAGAUGGUGAACUAUGCUUGAGUAGGUUGAAGCCAGAGGAAACUCUGGUGGAGGACCGUAGCGAUUCUGACGUGCAAAUCGAUCGUCAAACUUGAGUAUAGGGGCGAAAGACUAAUCGAACCAUCUAGUAGCUGGUUCCGCCCGAAGUUUCCCUCAGGAUAGCUGGCGCUCAUGAAUCAAACAGUUUUAUCCGGUAAAGCGAAUGAUUAGCAGUAUUGGGGAUGAAAUAUCCUCAACUGAUUCUCAAACUUUAAAUGGGUGAGAUGCUCAACUCUCUUAAAUAUGGAGUUGUAGCGUUGAAUGUGAGUGCCUAGUGGGCCAUUUUUGGUAAGCAGAACUGGCGAUGAGGGAUGAACCUAACGUCUAGUUAAGGAGCCAAACACAACGCUCAUGAGACACCACAAAAGGUGUUGGUUGAUUUUGACAGCAGGACGGUGGCCAUGGAAGUCGGAAUCCGCUAAGGAGUGUGUAACAACUCACCUGCCGAAUCAACCAGCCCUGAAAAUGGAUGGCGCUGUAGCGUUGGUCCUAUACUAGACCGUUACCGCGAAGCAGUAUGUGGUAACGUGUAGGGCGGCGCAGUGGUAAGCAUCGAAGUCUGGGCCGUGAGGCUGGAUGGAGCUGCCACUGGUGCAGAUCUUGGUGGUAGUAGCAAAUAUACAAGUGAGAACCUUGUAGACUGAAGUGGAGAAGGGUUCC
Molecule: ribosomal RNA, 1677 nt
Filed under: Polycystididae gen. 1 sp. YL-2017
Lineage: Eukaryota; Metazoa; Platyhelminthes; Rhabdocoela; Polycystididae
Description: partial large subunit ribosomal RNA
Rfam family: Eukaryotic large subunit ribosomal RNA
Source: RNAcentral